GCGACCCCGGGUGCAGGUGCCGACCGCCUGGUGGCUUCCUGCACUCCCGCCCCGCUGCAGCUUCUCCGCCCGCCGAGCUCCUGAUGCGCCGACGUGGGCGGAGGAGGGAGAAGGGACGCGGCUCGGCCGCAGCGCGGCGUGGCCCCGCGCCUCCACCCCUCGGGCGCCUGUGCUCACGCCGGUCGCUGGCCCCGGCGCCUCGGGAGUUGGGCAGGGUCUCUGCGGGCAGCGACACUGCGUUGUGCUGGGUUUGGGGUGGUGGAAUGCUUGCACUGCCUGGAGAGGGUGCAGGAGAGGCCUGUGAGGGCCUUCGCCAGAGCUCCCACCUCGAGUGCGCUAAGCUUUUUGAGGGUUCCAUAGGCUACGUUUGGGGACUGCCCUCCCAGGUUGAAGCUCCAGCACUCGCGGGAUAUCCCUGUCCUUUCUGGAAACGAGUACCUAAGGACCAGGAUGGGUUCCUAACUCCAGCGCUGAGUUUCAGGUAGUUCAUGACACAGGAGAGUGAAAACUACACCGCUUGGAGGAAAAGCCAUAAAGGGAAGGAGUCUAGACAACAGCAUACUCUUUCAAUAAGCCUUCCAGGACACUCAGCACAGCGCCUUACACACGACCUCUAAUCACUUCCUGACAAUGUCCUGGGAUGUCUCGUGGAGCAGAAAUCUGCCUUGCCACUGGCCUUGCUCGGAGAUGCAGAGGAGAUUUCUGCCCUGGGAGGACGUUGCACCAGAGGGACCUCUUAGACACUUUUCUUCCUUAACCACAGUGUAGAGGUGAACACACUCAUUGCUAUUCAUUACAUACUUUUUUUUUUCCCAGCAGAAUUUAACAUUAUUUUACCUUUAAACAUUAUUUUAACUU
Molecule: long non-coding RNA, 858 nt
Organism: Suricata suricatta (meerkat)
Lineage: Eukaryota; Metazoa; Chordata; Mammalia; Carnivora; Herpestidae
Exons: 3
Source: RefSeq, a predicted model, not a curated record